GAGUUUGAUCCUGGCUCAGGAGAAACGCUGGCGGCGCACAUAAGACAUGCAAGUCGAACGGAACUUAGAAGAAUGUUUACAUGAGACGAAAGUUUAGUGGCGGACGGGUGAGUAACACGUGAGCAACCUGCCUUUAAGAGGGGGAUAACAUUGAGAAAUCAGUGCUAAUACCGCAUAAAGCAUAUCUACCGCAUGAUAAGAUAUGCCAAAGGAGUAAUCCGCUUAAAGAUGGGCUCGCGGCUGAUUAGUUAGUUGGUGGGGUAACGGCCUACCAAGACGAUGAUCAGUAGCCGAGCUGAGAGGCACAACGGCCACAUUGGGACUGAGACACGGCCCAGACUCCUACGGGAGGCAGCAGUCGGGAAUAUUGCACAAUGGAGGAAACUCUGAUGCAGUGACGCCGCGUAUAGGAAGAAGGUCUUUGGAUUGUAAACUAUUGUCGACAGGGAAGAAACGAAUGACAGUACCUGUGGAGGAAGCCCCGGCAAACUACGUGCCAGCAGCCGCGGUAAUACGUAGGGGGCGAGCGUUAUCCGGAUUUAUUGGGUGUAAAGGGUGCGUAGACGGUUAUGCAAGUUGGUUGUGAAAUCCCGAGGCUCAACUUCGGAACUGCAACCAAAACUGUGUAACUCGAGUGCGGGAGAGGAAAGCGGAAUUCCUAGUGUAGCGGUGAAAUGCGUAGA
This 683-nucleotide ribosomal RNA is filed under the name uncultured bacterium. Its description in RNAcentral is "bacterial SSU rRNA". It matches the Rfam family "Bacterial small subunit ribosomal RNA", at positions 9 to 694 of the family's 1533-position model. The record is from RNAcentral.